ACAGAUUUAAAUAAAAUAAGAAUAUAAAAACAACGACUGUUUUUGUAUUAUUGUCGUCGUUUUUCGUCGUCUUAAGUAAGACUAAGACGACGUAAUAUAUUUGUUGAGCGACGUUGAUUUGUUUUUUAAACGUCGUUAGGUAUAAUAUAACCGUCGUUGAAAAUUGUCUCUCUGAUUGCAAAUUUGCAACGACGUUAGGUAUAAUAUUUGUAGAUACACAAACGCACACACAUCAUCA
RNAcentral lists this long non-coding RNA (238 nucleotides) under Prunus persica (peach). RNAcentral's name for it is "long non-coding RNA (PPER_LNC006491)". The record is from RNAcentral. Lineage: Eukaryota; Viridiplantae; Streptophyta; Magnoliopsida; Rosales; Rosaceae.